This 264-nucleotide ribosomal RNA is filed under the name uncultured archaeon. Its description in RNAcentral is "partial 16S ribosomal RNA". It matches the Rfam family "Archaeal small subunit ribosomal RNA", at positions 717 to 982 of the family's 1478-position model. The record is from RNAcentral.
ACACGACUACAUUAGAUACCCCGGUAGUCCCAGCCCUAAACGAUGCGCGUUAGGUGUAUCGGUGACCACGAGUCACCGAGGUGCCGAAGGGAAACCGUGAAACGUACCGCCUGGGAAGUACGGUCGCAAGGCUGAGACUUAAAGGAAUUGGCGGGGAGCACCACAGCGGGUGGAGCCUGCGGUUUAAUUGGACUCAACGCCGGGAAGCUCACCGGAUAAGACAGCGGAAUGAUUGCCGGGCUGAAGACCCUGCAUGACCAGCUG